RNAcentral lists this ribosomal RNA (253 nucleotides) under uncultured bacterium. RNAcentral describes it as "partial 16S ribosomal RNA". It matches the Rfam family "Bacterial small subunit ribosomal RNA", at positions 524 to 776 of the family's 1533-position model. The record is from RNAcentral.
UACAGAGGGUGCAAGCGUUAAUCGGAAUUACUGGGCGUAAAGCGUGCGUAGUCGGUUAUUUAAGUCGGAUGUGAAAUCCCCGGGCUCAACCCGGGAAUUGCAUUCGAUACUGGAUAGCUAGAGUUCGGCAGAGGGAAGCGGAAUUUCUGGUGUAGCGGUGAAAUGCGUAGAUAUCAGAAGGAACAUCAGUGGCGAAAGCGGCUUCCUGGACCAGAACUGACGAUCAGGCACGAAAGCGUGGGGAGCAAACAGG